This 492-nucleotide ribosomal RNA is filed under the name uncultured bacterium. RNAcentral's name for it is "partial 16S ribosomal RNA". It matches the Rfam family "Bacterial small subunit ribosomal RNA", at positions 29 to 507 of the family's 1533-position model. The record is from RNAcentral.
AUUGAACGCUGGCGGCAUGCUUUACACAUGCAAGUCGAACGGUAACAGGCCUUCGGGUGCUGACGAGUGGCGAACGGGUGAGUAAUGCAUCGGAACGUACCCAGAGGUGGGGGAUAACGCAGCGAAAGCUGUGCUAAUACCGCAUGUGAUCUGAGGAUGAAAGCGGGGGACCGAGCAGCAAUGUUUGGCCUCGCGCCUUUGGAGCGGCCGAUGUCGGAUUAGCUAGUUGGUGGGGUAAAGGCCUACCAAGGCGACGAUCCGUAGCUGGUCUGAGCGGACGACCAGCCACACUGGGACUGAGACACGGCCCAGACUCCUACGGGAGGCAGCAGUGGGGAAUUUUGGACAAUGGGCGCAAGCCUGAUCCAGCAAUGCCGCGUGCGGGAAGAAGGCCUUCGGGUUGUAAACCGCUUUUGGCAGGAACGAAACGGUGUCCGCUAAUACCGGGCGCUAAUGACGGUACCUGCAGAAUAAGCACCGGCUAACUACGUG